RNAcentral lists this unclassified non-coding RNA (516 nucleotides) under Hevea brasiliensis (rubber tree). The record is from RNAcentral. Lineage: Eukaryota; Viridiplantae; Streptophyta; Magnoliopsida; Malpighiales; Euphorbiaceae.
CAUGGUCAAUUUCAUAUAUUUGCACUUGCAGGACAUUUAAAUUUCAGUUUGCCAUUUACCAUAUUGAUUAGAUGAUGCCCCUUAUGAUUUUUUUUUUCACCAGUAUGAUGAUAGUUAUACUCCAUAGGCUAAUAUCUCUAUAGGAUAAUAUCAUGAUGCCAUAGAUACCUGCAGUAAAGUCUAAAUGAAAGGGAAUUGAGACUAGAGUCACCAAGUUGGAAUCCCUAAAGUUAAAACUACUUGGUAUUACCAUGUCCAAACAUAAACACACACCUAAAAGAAUAUGAUAACCAAGCCAAUUCAGAAACAUUGAUGGGUUAUGGAGUACAAAAAAGUUACACUUCUUUCAAUAUUUCAACUCCGAGAAAAAGGUUUCAAGCUCACUGGCUCAAUUAAUUGCAUCAACACUGAUCUUUUGAUGCAAAAUUUUUUAGUGAAUCAAAACAGAUUAUUCCUAUAAAUGCUCAAUGUUGAACACACUAGGACACAUUGUUCAACUAACAAACUUAACUGUUU